RNAcentral lists this long non-coding RNA (2403 nucleotides) under Mus musculus (house mouse). RNAcentral's name for it is "long non-coding RNA chr1:66656905-66659308". Lineage: Eukaryota; Metazoa; Chordata; Mammalia; Rodentia; Muridae. The record is from RNAcentral.
GGGCAGAUCCAAAUACAUGGAGGCAGUGCCUACAUAUAUUAAUGUUUCUUGUAAUGUGCGUGUGUGUGUAUGUGUGUGUAAGUCAAACUAAUCAUAAAUUUUAUAAUGUGAAUCAUAUUUAAAAGUUUAAGAAUAAAUAUUACCCAAUCAGAAAAAAAAACUUAAUUGUAAAAGGGAAAAUGGGGGUUAUAUAUUCCAAAUACCACAGAAGAUGUUUGCUCAAAUAGUUUGGCUUAGGCCUUUUAAAGAGCUAGGAAACAGUGUUGAGGGAGUCUAUACUCUUUGCAUUUGCACAAUAUCUGAUUGAUUAAUUUCAAGAGUCUCAGUGAAAAUAUUCUUGAUUAGAGAGACUCUCUGGCCAAAAGGAAUUUCCUGCCUUAUUCUGUCCUCCUGCGUUCUCAAAGCAGCAGCAUUUAUGAUGUUUUUCCUUCCUUUCUUUCCCUCUCCCUCAAUUAUCCUCGCUUUCUUGUCCCUGUUCCACUUUUUGUCCCAUGCUAUUUGUCUUCCCCUCCCUUCUCAGUGAGAAGAACUCUUGAGUUCCCAUGGAAAAGGAUUAACGAUUUUCUUCUUUUUUUAUUUAUUACGUAUUUUCCUCAAUUACAUUUCCAAUGCUAUCCCAAAAGUCCCCCAUACCCUCCUACCCACUUCCCUACCCACUCAUUCCCAUUUUUUUUCUUAAAACACGAAUCAGUGUGCAAAUGCAUGCUAUCAUGGAGGUAGGGUUGAAAAAAAACUGUAUGAAAGGGAAACUUUCUUGUAGGCUCACCACUAAUCCAUUUUUCAUCAUGAAAGGCUAAAGAAAUUUACAUGUUAACCUCUAAAUGUUAUUUUUUUUCUCAUUUCUGGCUCUAACUAUUGUUCUCAAGCUUACAUUAGAUAGAUCAUUUUUCAAACAUGUCCCAAAGCUAUCUUUAAAACAUAUCUCUUAAGCCAGGCAGUGGUGACACAUACCUUUAAUCCCAGCACUUGGGAGGCAGAGGCAGGCAGAUUUCUGAGUUUGGGGCCAGCCUGGUCUACAGAAUGAGUUCCAGGACAACCAGGGCUACACAGAGAAACCCUAUCUUGAAAACAAACAAACAAACAAACAAACCACAUCUCUUCACUUGAUCUUAAACAAAAGGCUGAGAAGCAAUUAAAAAACACAUCUCUUUAGAGAACUAAACUCUGGCACUUAUUCAGCUACAUAAGGAAUUGCAUUUAGUCAGAUUGAUUCACUUUCUUCAAUAAACUAUGGCUUACAAGAGUCCAAAUUGGUUAUUGUCACAGUAGAAUGUCUGGGAAUGUGCAGGGAUAAGGUGAAGGUAUCUAGAAGAGUCUAUGUAGAUAAAACUGCCCUUAUUUGGAUACAAGCCAUCUAAGAAAUCAUUUUUGUAUGACAUGCAAAGACAUAAAUAAUACAAUGUGCUGACUAUUUGAGUCAUUUCUUUAUGGCACCCAUGCUCACACACAAUUUCUAGGACAAUGGCCCAGUUAGGAAAGAAGCCGGUGGUUAUGAAGGGACAGUAAGUAUUUCUUGGCCAUGAAUGGUUGUCAUGAAGAUGAUGAAUUGACCUUAUGCAUUCAAAAUUAAGCAUAGGAGGAAGAUAUUAGAGAGAAUUUAGGAAUCUAAUAUGACAGCAGCAUCUAACAGUACAGACCUCUGAAGGUAUAACCAAUUCCCUUAAUAAUAAUGAGUGCUUCUAUGUGUGAAGCUAGUCAGAUGGAAUACAUGUUAGGGCAUCUAAGCUUUGGAGAGAUAGGCAAUGGCUUAGAUGUUCUUCCUAAAGUGGAGUGCCUAGAGGGCAGGCAUACUGUGGUUCCUUUUGAGCAUUUAUUUGCCUCUCCUAAACUACUAACUUUUCUCUUUAUUAAAAUGCUAUAGUUAAUAUAUGAGAAAAGUAAAAGUAGAAUAUUUCCAAUGUACUACUUCUAAUUAAUUAAUAGAUCUCCACAGGUGUGUGUGCUCUGUGUGUGUGUGUGUGUGUGUGUGUGUGUGUGUGUGUGUGUGUGUGUAUGUGUGUGUGUGUAUGUAGAAUUAUAUUCUCUGGCAAUUGAGGAUAAAGGAAAUCGGCAGAGUUCCUCUCUAGCAUGCACAAGUCCUGGGUUUUAUUUUCAGGCAUGAUAUCAGAAUCUGUAAUUCCAGAACUUGGAAGAAUGAGGCAAAAGAAUAUGAAAUUCCUUUUCACCAGAAAAUAUGAAAACCAGAAGAUCCUGGACAGAUGUUAUACAGACACUAACAGAACACAAAUACCAGCCCAGGCUACUAUGUUAAUGUUUCUUGCCAGCAAAACCCUCAAUUACCAUAGAUGGAGAAACCAAAGUAUUACAUGACAAAACCAAAUUCACAAAAUAUAUUUCCACAAAUCCAGCCCUUCAAAGGAUAAUACAGGGAAAACUCCAACACAAGGAGGAAAAUAACACCCC